Molecule: unclassified non-coding RNA, 311 nt
Filed under: plant metagenome
Description: partial contains small subunit ribosomal RNA, internal transcribed spacer 1, and 5.8S ribosomal RNA
Source: RNAcentral
UUUCCGUAGGUGAACCUGCGGAAGGAUCAUUAGUGAAUAAACAAGUGCAGGUUGUGCUGGCCUUCUUGGGUAUGUGCACGCCUGCCAGCUUCAUUCCAUCUUCCCACCUGUGCACUCUGUGUAGAUUCUGUAUGCUACUGUCAAGCCUUUAUUGUGCUUGGUUGAGAGGAGUUGCUUGUUUCACCAACAAGCUCUUCUUGGGCAUGCAGGUCUAUGUUUAUAUCAACACCAUAUGAAUGUUUUAGAAUGUGCUUUAGGCUUUUUGGCCUUUAAAUUAUAUACAACUUUCAACAACGGAUCUCUUGGCUCUC